RNAcentral lists this long non-coding RNA (720 nucleotides) under Homo sapiens (human). RNAcentral's name for it is "non-protein coding MCHR2-AS1:5". The record is from RNAcentral. Lineage: Eukaryota; Metazoa; Chordata; Mammalia; Primates; Hominidae.
AGCCCGGGCGCCCUUCCUCUCUGCGGGACUGCAGGUCUAUCCGCUAAGCGCGCGUGACCAAAAACGGCUCUCAGCGGGUCCCAGCUGACGGAAGGUGGGGGAGGAGUGCGAGGGUCUCUGAGACAGGUUGGGAGCCAGCCCCACCUCCAUUUCCAAAGCGGGGGUCCAGGCACAGGAACAGCCAAACGCCCGAACCAGCGGGGUUACCUUUGCCACUUCAUCCAAUCCGAGCAUCGGCUGGAAACUGGGAAGUUUGUCAGACAAAGCUCUUCAGGUUACUGGCAAUUUAUGUGCUGGGAGGUGGAUUUGUGGGCAGAGCUCCGGCUGACCUGGUGUUGUCCUGCUAUGGCUACAGACUUCUGACUAUGCUUAUCAGAAAAACUUUCAUUUGGUUCAAGGAUUUUUGCUGACAAGUUUAUUUAAUCCCUGAACCUGGAUCCAAGGCAUCUCCCUGUAGAAAACAUCAGACCGGGGCAGAGAUUGACAAAGCAACCCAAAGCAGCAGCUGCCAACGGCCGCUGUGCCCACCUCAUCAGCAGCUAAAGAGUAUAAUUUUAAAAAAAGUCACAGAAGAAUGUGGAGACACUUAGCAAAACGGACUCUCAUAAGGAACUUCCAUUUUCUCAACAACUGCUCUUCCAAGAUGCUGCCUCAUUUCAGAGCCAUGUUUUACUCAUGAGCUGGUCCUGUCCAGAAAACAGCCAAUGCUCAUUCCCGACA